UCAGAGAUUGAGCAGGAACCUGUUGUUUCAGGAGUCAGUGACCUUUGAGGAUGUGGCUGUUUACUUCACCCAGAAUCAAUGGGCCAGCCUCGACCCUGCGCAGAGGGCCCUGUACGGGGAGGUGAUGCUGGAGAAUUAUGCAAAUGUGGCUUCUCUGGUAGCGUUUCCAUUCCCCAAACCUGCUCUGAUCUCCCACCUGGAGAGAGGGGAAGCACCAUGGGGCCCAGAUCCCUGGGACACCGAGAUUCUGAGAGGCAUCAGUCAAGGUGGUGAGUCCUGGAUCAAAAAUGAAGGGCUAGUUAUAAAGCAGGAAGCCUCUGAAGAAACAGAGUUGCACAGAAUGCCAGUAGGAGGACUUCUCAGGAACGUUUCUCAGCACUUUGAUUUUAAAAGGAAGGCACUGAAGCAGACUUUCAAUCUAAAUCCAAAUCUGAUACUUCGAGGUGGAAUGAAGUUCUAUGAAUGUAAAGAAUGUGGGAAAAUCUUCCGAUAUAACUCAAAGCUUAUUCGGCAUCAGAUGAGUCAUACUGGGGAAAAGCCCUUUAAGUGUAAGGAGUGUGGCAAAGCUUUCAAGUCCAGCUAUGACUGUAUUGUACAUGAGAAAAACCACAUUGGAGAAGGGCCCUAUGAAUGUAAGGAGUGUGGCAAAGGUUUGAGUUCCAACACAGCCUUGACUCAACAUCAGAGGAUCCACACUGGAGAGAAACCCUAUGAAUGUAAAGAGUGUGGAAAGGCUUUCCGUAGGAGUGCGGCAUACCUGCAGCAUCAGAGAUUACACACGGGAGAGAAACUCUAUAAAUGUAAGGAAUGUUGGAAAGCUUUUGGUUGUAGGUCACUUUUUAUUGUCCAUCAGAGAAUUCAUACUGGGGAGAAACCUUACCAAUGUAAGGAGUGUGGCAAAGCCUUCACCCAGAAAAUAGCCUCCAUUCAGCAUCAGAGAGUUCACACUGGGGAGAAGCCUUAUGAAUGUAAGGUGUGUGGGAAAGCCUUCAAAUGGUAUGGAAGUUUUGUUCAGCAUCAAAAAUUGCACCCUGUGGAGAAGAAGCCAGUCAAGGUCCUUGGGCCAUCCCUGGUCAGUCCCCAGUGCCCCUCUCCAGC
RNAcentral lists this small RNA (1098 nucleotides) under Pongo abelii (Sumatran orangutan). RNAcentral's name for it is "retained intron". Lineage: Eukaryota; Metazoa; Chordata; Mammalia; Primates; Hominidae. The record is from RNAcentral.